RNAcentral lists this long non-coding RNA (12487 nucleotides) under Equus caballus (horse). RNAcentral's name for it is "lncRNA (ENSECAG00000056578.1)". The stretch from base 9074 to 9264 matches the Rfam family "Eukaryotic large subunit ribosomal RNA", at positions 2126 to 2337 of the family's 3401-position model. The record is from RNAcentral. Lineage: Eukaryota; Metazoa; Chordata; Mammalia; Perissodactyla; Equidae.
GCUUUUUAAAAAUACUCAGUGUCAGAAACCUUGCCCCAGAUUCAGCAGGUCAGAGCUGGGCUCUGGUAUCUGACUUUUUUUUUUUGUUGUUGCUGAAGUAUAUUAGCUCUGAGCUAACAUCUGCUGCCAGUCUUCCUCUUUUUGCUUGAGGAAGACUGUUGCUGAGCUAACAUCUAUGCCAAUCUUCCUCUGUUUUAUAUGGGACACCACCACAGUGUGGCUUGACGAGCAGUGCUAGGUCCGUGCCCAGGAUCUGAACCUCGAACCCUAGGCUGCCGAAGCAGAGCAUGCGAACUUAACCACUAUGCCACCGGGCCAGCCCCCUCAGAAUGAAGAUGUGAGAGUUGGAGCUGGAGCAGCUGAGGAGUCACGCACUCAGGAUUGCAAACGGAAGCCAAGUAUUGACAAGGGUGGCAGCACAACAAGGAAAACACAUUGGGCCCCUGACACUGCUGAACAACCACUGUAUUCUGGCAUCUCUUUGUCAGUUGUUGAACCUCUAUCCUAAGUAAUACCAGAUCUAAACAUUUAGUACAACAGACUUCCUGAUCCUGAAACCGAGUGUGCCCUUUGUAAAGAAUGUACAAUCGAGUUAGUCAAGCUUUCUUUUGCUUAUGGGUGCAAGGACCCAAUUCUACCUCAGUGAUCAAGAGUGACUCCUUAUUUCAGAACAUGUUAUAUAAUUGGGAUGGUGAAGACACUGCAGAAACUCAUCUGGUAUUUUCAGCUGAUCACGUAUGCUUGGGUUCUUAGUUUCCGUCUUUCUGCCUGAUACUGACCAACCCCUCUUUUGUCCCCCCACACUCCAAUUCAAAAUUUGUGCAAGUGGUGCCAAGGGUUUUGUGUAGGAGGGCUGCCCAAAUGAGCUUUUCUUGCCAUCUAGCCUCUCAGGCAAUGUGGUGAAUUCAAGGCCACACCUGCCACUUAGUAAGAAUGCAAACAAAUUAUUGAGAACUAUAAUUAUUCAUGUAUUAACACACAGGAUAAGUUAAGAUGACUAAGGAUAAGCCACGGAGCAACCACUUAAUAGAAAUCCUGAAUUUUUGGGAUGGCUCUUAGGAACACUAAGUAUGCUUUCCUUCUGAGCUGGUUGCUCAUUGGCGAAGAUUCCAGCAAGAGACUUAACUCUAGCCUGUGACCUUCUUGGGUCCUGCUGAGUCCCUUUUUAAUCUAUACUCAGAAUGUCAUAAAGAGAGGCUGCUGAAGCUCCCCCCAACCCAAGCCGGUUAGCAGCUCUGGUCUACUCAUGGAAGUCUUUAAUCCAUCCAGAUUAAAAUAACACCCAGUUGACUGCUGGAUACACUUCAUCGUUGUGUCUGAGAACUCCCUCUCAACUUCCGAGGUUAUUCUCUGAUACCAUGCUUGAGGUACUCGAUAGUAUUUCAUUUUCCCAAUUUUUCAAGUAAGGAAGCUGAAAAGUCACACAGCAGCAUCGGGGUUUAAACCUUCCAUGGUCUGAGGCCAAAGCCCAUUUUGUUUCCAGCUCUCACUGAGCAGAGUUGAGGCUGGAAGACCAUCUGACAGCCUUCCAGCCCCGUCAGCAUCUUUACUGAGUAGCUUUGUUAUUUGAUGUAAACAGUCGUAAAUUCCCAGAACCGGAGACACACCCAUAUAAAAAUGUUAAUUACUAAAAUGCCUCAUAAAACCAAAGGAAAAUGAACAGUGAAUUCAAGUCCCACUAGAAUUCUCUGUCUCUGGAUCCCCUCCACUAGGACAAACAAUUGAGAACUGACAAGAUUUAAUUUUUCUUAAGUUCUAUCCAGUCAGAUCUCUCAAAUCUGACCCCUCCAGCCAUUCUGUGAAACUUAUUAAUUACGGAGAAAACGAUGACUGACGCUAUGCUUUAAGCUGCUCUUCAAAUGGAAACAUAUGAGAAACUGAGGCUUGUUUAAGUAACAGACCUUCUCCAGGCCCCCAAGUUUUGCUGAAACUGUCAGAGGACACACACAUGGACGACUGUGCUAGUGCUUACUCUUUCUGAAAGUUCCAGAAACCACAGCUUCUGGUGAAGCGCCCUGCCGGAACAGCAGGCUUUAGAAAACAACAACAAAAAUCCCUCUGGGAUGAAAGAGGCUCAUUUGUUUUCAAGUUGUGGCCCUUCCACCCUCCGGGGGCCCCUCCCUCAUGCCUGCGUCUAAGGCUUUGAUUUAUAAUCUUCCACCCACGCAAGCCUUGGCAUCCGCUGGGAUCCUACAAUGAGGUUGAGGUGUAAACCUGGAGGAAACUUGUAAGGACAAGAGCAAGUUGGGGGUAGAGGGAAAGAGGGAGAGUGAGAGAGAGGAAAAGAAAUUAGGAGACCACACGCUUGGCACAAUUGAAUGAGCACAUGUGUUGGGAAGGCCCAGCUGACUAAGGAGUGCUGACUGUGGGUUUGGUGGCCAAGACCAUGCCUUUGGUUCUGCGGCACAGCUUCCAGCAGGAGAGCUCAUUGCCCAGUGCACUGUGACCAGGAUGGCUGGCAUGUGAACACUCCUCCUCUUUUGUCAGGAUUUCUUUUAUAGGCUUGCACAGCCAGAUCUGUGUUCCCAGCUGUAAGGCUGGGGAUUCAGUGUAUCCCCUGGGGGGUAAAUAGUAGCAGCUGCAAUCUUCUGCCAGAAAAGAACUUGCUGCCCCAGCUUGGAGGUUCAGCGGAUGAUGAGCCCAAGUUGUUCUGGAACACAAAAUAUGAUUCCCCAUGGGCCAACCUUUGCAAACUGCAAGAUGGCAAGCAAAUAUGGACCCUCGUGGUUCUAAUAGGUAUCACUAUGGCAGGGCUAGAUCGAUGGGCUUUCUUGAAAAGGAGGGAGCCUCAGAACUGAUGGAUUAGUGCCUGAAGGGAGUUGCAAGAUUCUCCUUGCACUUCUGAAGUCUGCGUAACUCAAAAUUCUCCCUUUGGCAAGUGUUUCUGAGGCAGCGUUGAAGCCAUGGGUUCUAGAGACUGACUCAGGUUAGAAGUCUGGCUCUGACACUUACCAUCCGGGUGACCUAGCGCAAUUUUCUCCCCUAGAAAACGGGGAUAAUACCCUCUACCUUACUGGAUUGUGGUUGUGUUAGAAAUAAUGUACGUAAAGUGCUUAGCAUAGUGUCCGAGCAUAUAAUAGAGGCUCAAUAAACACUUAGCCAGAGCUGUUGAUGAGAAAAUUAAUCUGGUUUAGCACUGAAGUAGUGGAAGAGAAGGAGAAACGGUAGUGACAUGUCUAAUACAACACACUUAGGAAAAACAAGCAUGGGGACAUUUAUUAUAUAUAGGACCAAGUAAACGCUCCAGAGGGACUCGGGGAGCCCAGGAGGUACAGAUGUUAAGCACCAAAGUCCAUGUCUGUCACUGCAGGAAAAGAACCAUAGAUGGUUUCUCAGGAUAUCUGGAGAGGGCAGGUAAUUCUUGGACUGUGUCAGAGGAAAUAAAUUUUAGCUGCAUAGCCUAGGCAAUGCUAUAAUUAGGUGACAACGGAUGAGAAUUGUGGAACUUACUACUUUCAUUGAUUUGUAAAUUCUGAUUUACAUGGGUUCCAUAGAGUCAAUCAUGCUGCAUUCACACUGGUACAAUGAUAAGACAAAUACUGUCCACAGCCCGUUCAGAAAGCACACUAACCCAAAAAAUGGCAUUUGGAGCCUCUGGUUUAGAAAUCAGAAGUUUGAAUCCAAAUCUUCAAUUUUUUGGACUAAUUAUUUUUUCUGUCAUUCUGCAUCUUCUAUAUUUUCCAAGAUCUACCAUAUAAUCACUUACCUUGAACAUUAAAACAAGACAAAUAUUUCUUAAGGGCAUGCAAUGAUAGGCACUGUGAAGGAUCCAAAGGAAUUGAACGUGCUUCCAGACUCCACAAUUGGCAGGAACUGACCAGAGAUUAGAAUCAUAUCCAGGCUUGUAUUCUUUAUUUUCUUAGCCACUCUUUAACAUUCUUCGCAUUCCCCAACUGGCUGAUUACAACACCUGAGUCAAGAUUGAUUGCUGUCUUCAAGCAUGUUUAGUAUUGACUGGAUCUAUUUAUAUGUAAAAAACAGCUAGCAAUUAUUGAGCUCCUACUAUGCGCAGGGCAUCCACAUUACACGUAUUCGUUCCUCUAGUCCUGAGAGGAACCGUAUGUGGUUCUUACAAUUAUCAACUUCAUUUUAUAAAUGAGGAAAUUGAAGCCUCGAGAUUAAGGAACCAGAGCAAGGUAACAGCCUAGGGAGUGUCAUCGCUAGGAAUUAAUGUGUAGGUGCAGAGAGGGGUAAGUCUCUUUGGAUGCCAGGGAAAGAAAUGAGAUGAAUCACACUGGGAAGGGGGACUGAAAUUUACAUUUUACCAUCUUCCAGACAACAGCUCAGUAAGGAAAGCUGCUUUUGUCACUUACAAAUAAUGCUGUAGAGGGCGCCAAAUAUACAAGCCGCGACGUUAAGGCUGUUUGGAUAAUAACACAGUUCCCACAGUGCUACCAGAUAUAUAAUCAGUAAUGGAUUCAAGCCAAAAGGCCCUCCCAAAAAGAGUAUGACGCAGUUUAUGAUAAUUAAGAAGCUGUAUUUCUAUCCCCUCAAUUAAAAAAAAGAAAGAAUCUCAUGCUUUAUAUUGAGCAAUUCAUAAUUUGUUUCUACUUGAUCCUGAUUGUUAUUCAAAGUACCUUUCAGCCGGGUGUUUAAUUUCUCUUUGCUCAGCCUGCUGAGUGGAGAAGGGAAAGGACAGAGCAACCUGGAUGGAAAUACAUUUCUAACAACUGCACUGAGAUGUAGUUUUAGCUUUUAAGUUUUACUUAACACAGUAAAACGUGCAUACAUUUAAGAAAAAGAAAAAAAUCCAUAUACAACAGCUUAAGUGAAAAGGAACAAGGCUCCAACCUCGAGUCAACAUCUUUUAGUGAUAACUCCACAUUUCCAAACAAAUCAAGAUAUAGAAAUAUAGACAUAUCAAACUAUUUACUUUCCUCUGUGAAAGUUGAGUUAGCUAACAGAAUAUACAUCUCUCAUAAAUCACAAAGUUUACAAAAUAAUCUUUAUUGUUUCCCACUAUUACAAGAGCAACACAUCAUCACUGCAGAACAUUUUAAAAAUAGAAAGAGGAAAUCAUUAACAUUUUGAUGUAUAUCCUUACGGGCACUUUUUUUUUUUUUUACGAAAAUGCGAUUACCGUGUGCAUGUGAUUUCAUUAAACUACACAUGAUGCUCAUCUCUCCGUGUCAGUAGACGGUCUUCCAUUUCACUUUGGGUUUGUCUUAUUGCAGCGUGAUUUACAUGGAGGUUAAGUGUUCUGAGGCGUAAGGAAGCUCCAGCUCCUCGGCCGUCGGGGUGUUGAGGGCACCGUCCAGGCUGUGUCGGGGGCCAGGACUGAGAGUCCUGCCGGGAGUGCAGAAUCGGACCCCGCCCGGCAGGGAAACGUUCUAACUCCUCAACACCGCAGGCCUCGGAGCACCGGGAGUCACUCACGAGCGGGGAGUUCGCCCAUUGUUCGGUGGAAGAUAACCUCUCGUCUAAUUCUUUGCAAUUCCCGUGUAAACUGCCCUAAGCACAGACAACGAGCAGAGUCAUCAGUGAACCAGAGAGAGAAGGCAGGCUGGCCUCUCUCCCGCGCCCGCCCUCUGCGCCCCAUCCCAACCGUCGGGCCAGCGUCGGGGAGCGCAGAGGCCGCCAGGCAGCGGCCUAAAACGUGUCGGGGUCGGGGCAGUUAGUCACCUCCUGGUACGCCUCCACUCCCUCGGCUCCCUGUGAGGUAGACCCCGCCGCCGUCACCAGCAACCCAGCCCGAGGCCGGCAUCCAUUUCCUCCCGGCGCCAGCGCAGCGGGCGCGCGGGCGGCGACCUGAGGCCAGAAGAUGGCGGCCGCGCCAGGCUCCGAGGCCGACGGAGCGCGGCGGGCGCAGAGCUGGCAGCGGCGCUGAGCAGGCUCUCCGGAGGGAGGGCGGCGCAGCGGGGUUAAGGGGAGCGGGCGACCAAGAGGGCACCGGGCACCGGAAGAGCCCCCGCCGCGCAACGGCCGCAGACGGCGCGGGCGGAAGCGGCCUGGCUGGGCGUCCGGCGCCGCCCGCCGCGGGGGAGCACGCUUCCUCUCUCCUCCGAGGCCGUGGCCCAGCUCCCCCGGCCCGCGGGCCUCCCGGCGGUCUCCGGCCUGAGAGGGCUGCGGCGCGCCCCGUCGCCCCGUGACGCAGGAAGCAGCGCGGCCGACGCCCUUCCCCGCGCGGGCCGGCCGCCAACGCCCGAGGCCGCGCCCGCCGCUCGCGCUCCGGACGGGCCGCGCGGGCGCCCACCCGCGAGAAAGGGGCGAGCCCUCACGAAGGCCGCCUCCCCCGGCGGGCGCGGCCGGGUGUCCGCAGACGACACUCGCAGCGCCGCUUCCACGGAAGGUCAGCGCCGGGUUCCGGAGCCUCCCCCUGUGGACCGGCCAGGCUCCGCGCGGGGCCGGCGUUCUCUCCAAACAGCUCCCCGGCCUGUCCUCGGCCCCUCUCGGCCAGCGGGCUUCCGCGAGGCCGCGGGGAGAGCACGCGCCGCGGCGUCCCCGCCCGGAGCCCGAGACAGUCCGAGCUGGGCGCCGCGAAGCACACUUGACCGGGCUGAGGAGGGAUUCGGAGGCCUCGCGGCACGACACUGGGGAAGGAAGGAACUGUUCAGGCCAUUUAGCUUAUUUCCCUGGAGCUGGCUCCUGGCCAGCAAAGAGCGUCCCGGGAAAAGGAAGCCACCACAGCAUGGCCUGAUGAGCAGUGUGUAGGUCCAUGCCUGGGAUCCGAACCUGUCAACCCUGAGCUGCUGAAGAGGAGCAAGCAAACCCAACCACUACACCACUGGGCUGGCGCCCCAUCACUCUUUUUUGACUAGUGAGCAAGAUAUAGGCCUUGGCUCACAACUUACUUAACCUAUUAGUUUCCGUUUCUCUUUAAGAUAAGGGUAUUGCCAAAAUGAUACUUCAGAGCAUGUUGUUGUACAAUCAACUACUACAGUCAUGCAUCACAUAACGAAGUUUCAGUCAAUGAUGGACCACGUAUACGACAGUGGUCCCCUAAGAUUAGUACCACAUAGUUUAUGUGUGUAGUAGGCUAUACCAUCUAGGUUUGUGUAAGUACACUCUCCUGUCAUACAACGAUGAAAUCGCCUAACGAACAACACAUUUCUCAGAACACAUCCCUGUUGUAAAGCUACGCAUGACUCAACCUAGCACUCAGUAGGUUAAGAGUGAGAUUAAGUCAAACUCCUACUAGAGAAGUAUGCACUAAAUCAAAGUUAACAUGUCUAUAUUUGCUAGUUGCUGUAUUUUCUUUAAUUACAUUUUCUUCCUGUAUGUCACUAAGAUAUGGGUUAUAAAGUCCUAUACUAAUGGCUUAAAUAUAUCAAGAACAUUUUUUACAUGUUAGUAUAAAUUCAUUUUAACGAAGGCGUAUGAACCCUAUCUACUGGGUGUGGCAUGGUAUAUGUAUAUAAUUCUUUGCCUGUUCAUUAGCCAAUUCUUACUAUUUGUAUCCUGACCUCCUGGCUAAGCUGGGUUCCGUCUUUUCUAUGAACUGACUGAUCCCUUGAUGACCAGCAGGCUCUCUGGGUUACUAGUUGCAUUUGAGCAUUAUUUGUUUUUAGAAGUCUUAUGUUCAAAAUAUUUCCUUUAAUUGCUCUAGUCCAGGAAUCCACAAAUUUUUUCCUGUCUAGGGUCAUAGGAAAUAUUUUAGGCUUUUCAGGCCAUGUAAGUCUCAGUCACAUAGGGCCCCCCACCACACCCCAACAAUCCUUUAAACAUGGAAAAAACGUUCUUAACUUCCAGGUUCUAAAAACAGAGGCUGUGCUUGCUGUAGCUUGCCCAUUCCCAUUCUGGUCCUUAACAGGAAAAGGGUAAAGAAAGCUCAACUUCAUGCAUGCAUGUAUGAUCACAGAAACUUAAAAGUGCUGGCUGGAUAUUUAAUUCAACUUGGUCUUGACCAUAAUGCUUUUUGGCAAAUCAGAUUAUUGCUGAGUGCUUCUGUUUGGUCAAUUAAUACAGCAAGUAUUAAAAUAUACUCACACUACAGCCUGGGGGAAGAGAAACAAUGAUUAUAAACUAAGAAAUAAAUGAAACUGAGAUUUAAGUUUAUUGCAACACAGGUACAACAAUCAUAUACUUAUGCAUAUAAUUUUAUAGUUUUACAUGUAACAAAUAGCUCCUAAAACUUGCCACUGUCAUUCUAGCAGCUAACAUAAUGGAAAUUACUGUUCUUUUAUGAAAGUAUUCCCAUAGGUUUAAAAAUAACACCUGGAAAAAGAACCUUUAAGUUUCUCCAACAGCUUCUUGUUUACUUGGUUAGUCUACUUAUGGAGUGAGCUACGCAUCCAAACAAGUUAUGCCGUUUCCACCUACCCAAGUCCUCACUGUACUCAUGUUUUGUGACACAGAAUCAAUUUAGGAUAUUGUAUUCAGUUCUAGGGGUCCUCAGGAAAAAAGAGCUGUCUAAAAACACAAUAAACUGCCCCAGUAUCACUGUGGCUAUUCAAACAGAGGUCAAUCACUCAUUGGGCAAACUAAUACAUGCAUAAAAAGGGAGAGGAAUUAGCUAACACUGGGUACCUUAGAGGGUUUUAGGCAAAUCCUAAAUUCUGUCAGUCUCCACUAUUAUUUGUUAAGCUUAUGCUGAACGGAGCAAGACUGACCACUGUGACAGCCCACAGAUACACCUGCUCUUUUAAGAUCUACAAGGUUUGCGAGGAAUUUUAAUGGGGUAUUCUUGUUCGUGUUUUUGGCCCUUGAAUAACUCUGGUUCUAAGAAUAGUGAUACUUUAGAUGAGUCUCUAGGGGCAAUAGAAACCAUCAAAUGAUUAACAACAAAAAAUGAAGGCCAACUUCUUCUCUUUAACACCUUUAACUCCAUCCUCAUCUCCACCCUUGGGUGCAUAUACAGCAUAGUUAUAACUGCAGCCACUCAUAAAUUAUUCUUCACUGCCUCUUGAGCAGUAAGAAUGAUUAACACAACGGAAUGCUAGAAGGACUAAAUUUCAUAUUCCAAUAAAUUUAUUAGGCAAGAGGAGUUAAAAUAUAGUCACCUUAAAAAAAUUUCUUCCCUUCUCACCCCACAAUUCUUUAUCUUAUCCAUAAUUAAAUGCAAUUAUGCUGUCUUCUGCCUUUCAGGUUAAAGAACCCCAUAGCUAAUGAUGUGGACUACUUUAUUUUCCAAUUUAGGGCAACUCUAACUUGAAAAAAUACCAAAGUCCCCAAAACUAAUAAGUGAUUUCUGCCCAGUGCUCUGAAUGUCAUAGUGAAGAAAUUCAAUGAAGUGAGGGUAACACAGGGAGUAACUAUGACUCUCAAGGUAGCCAAAUGCCUCAUCAUCUAAAUAAUGAUGCUUAUGAAUGGAUGAACAAGAUUCCCAAGGUCCCUACCUAGUAACUAGUGAAACACAGCCAAGACAACUAGCUUUGCAGAAUCAGCAGGGAAAGACCUGGUUGAGCUUAACUUGGAUCCAAAGGAAACUAAAUGGUACACUUUCUGUUUCUGGUUCAUCUUCUGGGUAAUAUACCAGCCAUAGUGGGAGAUACUCAAGAUUGAAAGACAUGUCAGUAUACUCAGAAACAAUCACACACACACAAAUCAAUGUUUAUUACCAGCCUGAUGAAAGAACGAAUUUUUUUAGUUUACUCUAUUUUUUUUAUAUGUAUCUCCAUAUGCUUUGGCAUUUGGCAUAAUUGACUUACUGAAGUAAUUUGUUCUUAUAUUUAGCUUUUAUAAAUGAAAAAAAAAUCAAAAGAAGCUUAUUUACCAAUCUAAAGUGGGGACUUUAAACAUACGGGAUCAAGACAGCUGACUUUGUUGAUAAGCAAGUCAAUGUCUCUCAGGCUGAAGGCACAGUAAUCAGUGAAGAGACAGGUGAGUGUGUGUGGUUAAAAAAAAAAUCAUCUGAUUUAUCAAAUUAUGAAGCAAAGACAUAUUUCUUUGGCCAGUGUAUUACCUCCAAGGAGGUAAACUAUGGAAGAAAUCUAAUUAUAGUCAUAAAGUUGCCUGGUGAACAUGAUACCAAAACAUGUGGAAAUAUAUGAUGAGGAAAUUUACUGACAUUAGGCCUGAAUUUUUUAUGUUGAAAUGGAUCCUUAAAGUCCUAGCUCAUGACAUCUAAAUUUCUUAAGAUCUACUGCUCUUAAGUUACUAAUACUAAAUAAAGUGAUGCUUCUUUCUAGUCAGAUUUGCACUUCUGGGAUUAAAAAUGACUGGCUUGACAUUUAGGGGAAAAUAGUAACCUUAAUUAAAAGAUCACAUUGUCUAAACAUCUUAGAAUAAUUAGUUGUAAAAGUAGUAGGGUGAAAUGUCACUAUGUUUAAAAUAAGUUAACCCCUCCCCUUUUAAGAUACUCAUAUAUAUUAAAAGUGCGGAGGAGUUUAGAAAUAAGGCUUUUUUCCCCCCACAAUGAACCUAAACACUCCUAAAAGACGAGAAACUGGUUCCCAGACUAACAAGACUUGACACUUAUCUACUAGAGGAAAAACUUCAGUCCAUCAGAAUAUUCUAAAUUUCUUAUAAAACAACUUAUGUUGCUGUUCUGAUGAAAUCUUCAAGAAAUGCAAGAAAAGGUUCACAGCAAUAGUACCCCAAGCUUCUCAGGUCAGAGGUCUAACACUACAGUAACGCUCCUCAAAAAAGAAAUGAAGAAAUACUGUCUUUGCACUGUAGCUUUAUAUAGACUUUAGUGAAAUGCUUCAUUCCACCUAUCUGUAUUUAUCAAAGUGGCAUUUACAUGUAAAGUACUUGAGGAUGAGAGGUUUGUCAAAAAUGCAUAUUCCAGUGUCACACUAAGUAGUCUGGCAUAUGGUUCUUCAGGAAUUGCUACAUUCUGAGAAAAUGAUGAAUGAUGAUACCUAACAUUUUGUUUUGAGAACUCUGGGUGUGGAGCCCAGGAAUGUAUAGUUUAAUAAGCUUCCCAGAUAAUUAUGGUGUUCAAACUGGCUUGGGAACCACUAACUUGCAGCAUUUUAACAUGCCUAUAGAAGGGAAACAUUUUAAAAAGUGGAUUCUUUUUAAAGGUUGGUAGCCAUGACCUAUAAUCCUGGGCAUAAGAAUUUGCCUUCAAUGAAAACUGAUUAAGUUGUUAGAAAGGGGCGACCAACUAAGUUCUGCCUUGAGAAUUAAAUGCGUCACGAUAUUUCUACUAGUUUUUUAUGUAGUACCUUCAAGUGACACAUGGGAAAAGAAAUCUGUUGCUAUCUGUGUAACAGAAUGUAUCAACUUAUUUAAUGUUAGAAAUCUUAGAAGUGAUUUUUAAUUUAGUGCCAAACCUUCCCAAAGAAUAUAAAAUUCCUUGUGUGGGAGGGAUUGAUUAGCACAUUAAUGGAUUCAACUUUAUAGAAAUGGGUAUUAACAUAAUCUACUGUUGAUUGUAAACCAUUCAAAAUUGCAGCUAAAUAACUUUCCAGGCAGAGAUAAACAUGUAUGUUUCCCAAUGCCAUUUGUCCCCAGGAUUGUUGCUGCACAUCGGUAAGCAUUUAUGGAUUUCGAAACAUAUUUGUAGGACCACAGCUAUACUUUUGAAAUUAGAUGCUAGAAUCUAGCUCUGAGCUUCCAUCCUGUUAACAGGGUUGCUGAACUGUUUAGAAGAGCUAGCCAUGGGAAAGUUCUCUUCUCUAAUUAAAGUACCUCUACAGUUACUUUUUAUUUCUAUUACGCAUUGGAAAGGCAGGUUAUCCUGAAAACAUUUAUAACUGAACACCAGAGGAUGUAUCAGAACUUUCAAUUUGCCCAACACAAUGUAACGCUUUGUUGAGAGGCUGCGUUCACCAGCAUCAGACCCAAGAGCACCAGCAAACGUUUCACCUGGACUUGCUAGUCUUUCAGGAUAACUGUGCCUGAUGAAACCUAAGAGGAAAAGAUGGCCAGUUAUUUUCUUGAUAUUCUUUUUUUCUGGAAUAAGGAUGGCUUUGCUCUUGAACACAAAUCAUUAACAAUUUUAGGUUUCCUAACUUUUAACUACAAAAAUACAUCUCUAACCCUCUUUCCUUCUUUUCACAAUCAAAAUUUAGGAGCUAUUUUGCAGAUUUAUUCUUAUACCCAAAGAGAGACCUAAUUAAUUCAAACGUUUACCUGAGCACUUACUGUGUCCUAAGUAUUAACGCCAAGUGCUACGCAUUUUAUCUGAAGGAGACAACGCAACUUCAACACUGCCCUUCAGGGGCUCACAUUCUAGCAGGGCGUGGACAUUCUAAAUCAUCGUAACAAACUGCAAUAAGCACUAUAAUAGAGCUGGGUAAAAGGUACAUGGAAUUAUAAACAACGGACUUCCUGGAAGAACACCAGAGAAAGCUCAGAGAGGAGAAACACUUGAACUGAAGGAUGCAUUCCCAAGGGGGAGGAAGUGGGUGUUCCAUGGAGAGAAGAUAGUAUGUAUAUACAAAAGAAAGGAGGUCUGAGAGAACAAUGUUUAUGUUUGGGGAACUGAAGGCAGAAAUAAUAUGGGUGGAAGCAAAAGAAGGAGCAACUGGAUCCUUGGAACAAAGGCUGGAGACAGAUCACAGAAAGUGCCUUGUAUGCUACCCUAAGGAGCAUUAAAGGAUUUCGCGUAAGAUCAGACUCACAUUUUAGUAAAAUCACUUUAAAGAACGACAGAUAG